CCUACGGGUGGCUGCAGUGGGGAAUAUUGCACAAUGGGGGAAACCCUGAUGCAGCCACGCCGCGUGAGUGAAGAAGUAUUUCGGUAUGUAAAGCUCUAUCAGCAGGGAAGAGAAUGCCGGUACCUGACUAAGAAGCACCGGCUAACUACGUGCCAGCAGCCGCGGUAAUACGUAGGGGGCAAGCGUUAUCCGGAUUUACUGGGGGUAAAGGGAGCGUAGACGGCUGUACAAGUCUGAAGGGAAAGCCCGCGGCUCAACCGCGGAAUUGGACAUAAAACUGGUAAGCUGGAGUGUAGGAGAGGGAAGGGGAAUUGCCGGGGGAGCGGUGGAAUGCGUAGAUAUCGGGAGGAACACCAGAGGCGAAGGCGACUUACUGGACUGUAACUGACGCUGAGGGUCGAAAGCGUGGGGAGCAAACAGGAUUAGAUACCCCGGGUAGUC
RNAcentral lists this ribosomal RNA (441 nucleotides) under uncultured bacterium. Its description in RNAcentral is "partial 16S ribosomal RNA". It matches the Rfam family "Bacterial small subunit ribosomal RNA", at positions 338 to 795 of the family's 1533-position model. The record is from RNAcentral.